RNAcentral lists this long non-coding RNA (860 nucleotides) under Oryzias javanicus (javanese ricefish). RNAcentral's name for it is "lncRNA (ENSOJAG00000021523.1)". The record is from RNAcentral. Lineage: Eukaryota; Metazoa; Chordata; Actinopteri; Beloniformes; Adrianichthyidae.
AUGCUGUCUUUAGAGCUGCAGCCUGUAAUCUUACACUUUUAAUGUUGUACAAAAGCGAAAAAUAUAAACAAUGUGCAAAAUAUUAGAUACUGAAAACUAAGAGUAAAAGUCUUUAUAUUAUCACCGAAUACAUUUACAAAACGUGAAGGCUUCUAAAAUCAGGGUUCUGACCUCGUUUGUGAUCGUUCAAAAACACUUCCACGUCAAGCAGAUCAGGGUUCUAGGAACUCACGCAGAGUAUCGCGACACUUCACGAGAUCACGCUCUGGAAGCAGGUGAUUUGUUAUUUCAAAGUUUGAAACCUGCAACGAGGAUCUUCAGCGUCAAAUUCUCACCGUUUACAAGGAUUAUGGAUCCUUCCUUCACGGCUCCACAUGACUCCCGGCGUGUCUUCUGGAGGACCGGCGGCCUAUAAAAACCCUCUGAGAAACACCGACUCACUUCUGCGUCUGCAGCAGGAAGGAGCCGGUUCCAGGAUGGUUUUCAGGACUCUGGGCGUGACGUGCGCCGUCUUCUUCGGGGCGUGGGUCCUCUCGAGCGCCAAAGACGCAGCGCCCCCCACCACCACCACCACCAGCGCCUUCUGCAAGAUCAUCUGGUUGAUCGGAGUCCCCUGCUCUGAGGUCAACUCCGCCAUCGUGACUCAGAUCAAAGCCAUGGGUUCAUACACGGUGUGGAAGCGUCUCGUGUGUCAGUCCUGAUGCACGAAUAUCACGUAAACGGAUCUUUUUCUGCGUUCCAGCUCGGCUCCGUCACUUCAAUGGCAGUUCAGGCCAAUCACACUUCAGGAGUCGGCCAGAUCGAGAGCGUCAACUUCACCAUGACGCCCACAUCUGUGAUCCUGGGCUGCCACGUGCAGG